CCUACGGGAGGCAGCAGUAGGGAAUAUUGCUCAAUGGGGGAAACCCUGAAGCAGCAACGCCGCGUGGAGGAUGAAGGUUUUCGGAUUGUAAACUCCUUUUGUUAGAGAAGAUAAUGACGGUAUCUAACGAAUAAGCACCUGCUAAACCCGUGCCAGCAGCCGCGGUAAUACGAAGGGCGCAAGCGUUACUCGGAAUCACUGGGGGUAAAGAGCUCGUAGGCGGGAUAGCAAGUCAGAUGUGAAAUCCUAUGGCUUAACCAUAGAACUGCAUUUGAUACUGUCAUUCUAGAGUAUGGGAGAGGUAAGUGGAAUUCUUGGUGUAGGGGUAAAAUCCGUAGAGAUAAAGAGGAAUACUAAUUGCGAAGGCGACCUACUAGAACAUAACUGACGCUGAUGGGCGAAAGCGUGGGGAGCAAACAGGAUUAGAUACCCUAGUAGUC
RNAcentral lists this ribosomal RNA (440 nucleotides) under uncultured bacterium. RNAcentral's name for it is "partial 16S ribosomal RNA". It matches the Rfam family "Bacterial small subunit ribosomal RNA", at positions 338 to 795 of the family's 1533-position model. The record is from RNAcentral.